RNAcentral lists this ribosomal RNA (406 nucleotides) under uncultured bacterium. RNAcentral describes it as "partial 16S ribosomal RNA". It matches the Rfam family "Bacterial small subunit ribosomal RNA", at positions 30 to 526 of the family's 1533-position model. The record is from RNAcentral.
AUUGAACGCUGGCGGCAGGCCUAACACAUGCAAGUCGAGCGAGCGGCGGACGGGUGAGUAAUGUAUGGGAAACUGCCUGAUGGAGGGGGAUAACUACUGGAAACGGUAACUAAUACCGCAUACCAUCAGAUGUGCCCAGAUGGGAUUAGCUAGUUGGGGGGGUAAUGGCUCACCUAGGGGACGAUCCCUAGCUGUUCUGCGAGGAUGACCAGCCAAACUGGAACUGAUACACGGUCCAGACUCCUACGGGAGGCAGCAGUGGGGAAUAUUGGACAAUGGGCGCAAGCCUGAUGCAGCCAUGCCGCGUGUGUGAAGAAGGCCUUCGGGUUGUAAAGCACUUUCAGCGGGGAGGCGUUACCCGCAGAAGAAGCAACGGCUAACUCCGUGCCAGCAGCCGCGGUAAUUC